Molecule: ribosomal RNA, 1681 nt
Filed under: Nicotiana tabacum (common tobacco)
Lineage: Eukaryota; Viridiplantae; Streptophyta; Magnoliopsida; Solanales; Solanaceae
Description: bacterial SSU rRNA
Rfam family: Eukaryotic small subunit ribosomal RNA (bases 2-1128)
Source: RNAcentral
CCUAGUUGAUCCUGCCAGUAGUCAUAUGCUUGUCACAAAGAUUAAUCCAUGCAUGUGUAAGUAUGAACAAAUUUAGAUUGUGAAACUGCGAAUGGCUCAUUAAAUUAGUUAUAGUUUGUUUGAUGGUAUCUACUACUCUGAUAACCGUAGUAAUUCUAGAGCUAAUACGUGCAACAAACCCCGACUUCUGGAAGGGAUGCAUUUAUUAGAUCAAAGUUCGACGCGAGCUCUGCUUGUUGCUGCGAUGAUUCAUGAUAACUUGAUGGAUCGCACGGCCAUCGUGCCGGUGACGCAUCAUUCAAAUUUUUGCCCUAUCAACAUUCGAUGGUAGGAUAGUGGCCUACCAUGAUGGUGACGGGUGACAGAGAAUUAGGGUUCGAUUCUGGAGAGAGAGCCUGAGAAACGACUACCACAUCCAAGGAAGGCAGCAGGCACGCAAAUUAUCAAAUACUAGCACGGGGAGGUAGUGACAAUAAAUAACAAUACCGGGCUCUAUGGGUCUGAUAAUUGGAAUGAGUACAAUCUAAAUCCCUUAACGAGGAUCCAUUAGAGGGCAAGUCUGGUGCCAGCAGCCGCGGUAAUUCCAGCUCCAAUAGCGUAUAUUUAAGUUGUUGCAGUUAAAAAGCUCGUAGUUGGACUUUGGGAUGGGCCGGCCGGUCCGCCUUAGGUGUGCACCGGUCGUCUCGUCCCUUCUGCCGGCGAUGCGCUCCUGGCCUNAUAAUUUGACUUUGGUAUGGGCCGGCCGGUCCGCCUUUGGUGUGCACCAGUCGUCUUAUCACUAUGACGGGCGAUGCGCUCCUGGCUUUAAUUAGCCGUGCCUUGCCUCCGGUGUUUUUACUUUGAAGAAAUUAGAGUGCUCAAAGCAAGCCUAUGCUCUAUAUACAUUUGCAUAGGAUAACAUUAUAGGAUUUCGAUCCUAUUACAUUGGCCUUCAGGAUCGGAGUAAUGAUUAACAUGGACAGUCGGCGACAUUCGUAUUUCUUAGUUAGAGGUAAAAUUCUUGGAUUUAUGAAAGAUGAACAACUACGAAAGCAUUUGCUAAGGAUGUUUUCAUUAAUCAAGAAUGAAAGUUGGGGGCUCGAGGACGAUCAGAUAUCGUCCUAGUCUCUGUCACACCUCCUUUUUCCGCCCCCGCGAGGGGCGUAGGAGUUUUUUCCAGUUAAAGGACAAUCGAAAUGGGAUUUGUUUAUUUAUUUCAGAGUCACCACUUGGGAGAUUUAGGGUGUCCCAAGUCACCAAUUUUAAUCCCGAAUCGAGGAAAAGAAUGACUCUGUAUUACAGUCUACGAUCCAGAAAUCCGGAUAAGGAAUUCUGUUAACCCGGGAGAAGGUGUUAGGCAUUCCCGAAUUCCGUGGUUCUAGCACGGUCGCUCAACUGUCAUAUUCGGUUUAUUUAUCAGAUUUUUAUACAAUUAUGAACCGAUGUGCCAAUUUUAACUUUUUACCACUUUAUUAUUAUUAUUUUUUUAAAACAAAUGUGAACAUCGCUUAAAACACGUCUUUGGACUGCGUCACAUGAAAUGCACCCACAAUCCGGAACACAUUUUAUUUGAUGUUUUGGGAUUUGGAUUUGGGUCGCAUGAAAUGCACACCCGUGUUUAGGAAUGUAUUAUUAUUAAAAUCGUGCCUAAAGCGAUUAGCGUAUUAUUAUUUCUGGGUAAGACCGUGGAAUUCACUAAAUA